GAAAUGCGAUAAGUAAUGUGAAUUGCAGAAUUCAGUGAAUCAUCGAAUCUUUGAACGCACCUUGCGCCCUUUGGUAUUCCGAGGGGCAUGCCUGUUUGAGUGUCAUUAAAUACCAUCAACCCUCUUUUGACUUCGGUCUCGAGAGUGGCUUGGAAGUGGAGGUCUGCUGGAGCCUAACGGAGCCAGCUCCUCUUAAAUGUAUUAGCGGAUUUCCCUUGCGGGAUCGCGUCUCCGAUGUGAUAAUUUCUACGUCGUUGACCAUCUCGGGGCUGACCUAGUCAGUUUCAAUAGGAGUCUGCUUCUAACCGUCUCUUGACUGAGACUAGCGACUUGUGCGCUAACUUUUGACUUGACCUCAAAUCAGGUAGGACUUCCCGCUGAACUUAAGC
Molecule: unclassified non-coding RNA, 389 nt
Filed under: plant metagenome
Description: partial contains 5.8S ribosomal RNA, internal transcribed spacer 2, and large subunit ribosomal RNA
Rfam family: 5.8S ribosomal RNA (bases 1-105)
Source: RNAcentral